This 403-nucleotide ribosomal RNA is filed under the name uncultured bacterium. RNAcentral describes it as "partial 16S ribosomal RNA". It matches the Rfam family "Bacterial small subunit ribosomal RNA", at positions 30 to 526 of the family's 1533-position model. The record is from RNAcentral.
AUUGAACGCUGGCGGCAGGCCUAACACAUGCAAGUCGAGCGAGCGGCGGACGGGUGAGUAAUGUAUGGGGACUUCCCGAUAGAGGGGGAUAACUACUGGAAACGGUGGCUAAUACCGCAUACUAUCGGAUAACCCAUAUGGGAUUCGCUAGUUGGUGGGGUAAUGGCUCACCAAGGCGACGAUCCCUAGCUGGUCUGAGAGGAUGAGCAGCAACAAUGGAACUGAGACACGGCCCAGACUCCUACGGAGGCAGCAGUGGGGAAUAUUGCACAAUGGGCGCAAGCCUGAUACAGCCAUGCCGCGUGUAUGAAGAAGGCCCUAGGGUUGUAAAGUACUUUCAGUCGGGAGGCGUUACCGACAGAAGAAGCACCGGCUAACUCCGUGCCAGCCGCCGCGGUAAUAC